This 497-nucleotide ribosomal RNA is filed under the name uncultured bacterium. Its description in RNAcentral is "partial 16S ribosomal RNA". It matches the Rfam family "Bacterial small subunit ribosomal RNA", at positions 28 to 507 of the family's 1533-position model. The record is from RNAcentral.
GACGAACGCUGGCGGCGUGCCUAAUACAUGCAAGUUGAGCGCUGAAGGUUGGUACUUGUACCGACUGGAUGAGCAGCGAACGGGUGAGUAACGCGUGGGGAAUCUGCCUUUGAGCGGGGGACAACAUUUGGAAACGAAUGCUAAUACCGCAUAAAAACUUUAAACACAAGUUUUAAGUUUGAAAGAUGCAAUUGCAUCACUCAAAGAUGAUCCCGCGUUGUAUUAGCUAGUUGGUGAGGUAAAGGCUCACCAAGGCGAUGAUACAUAGCCGACCUGAGAGGGUGAUCGGCCACAGUGGGACUGAGACACGGCCCAAACUCCUACGGGAGGCAGCAGUAGGGAAUCUUCGGCAAUGGACGAAAGUCUGACCGAGAAACGCCGCGUGAGUGAAGAAGGUUGUCGGAUCGUAAAACUCGGUUGGUAGAGAAGAACGUUGGUGAGAGUGGAAAGCGCAUCAAGUGACGGUAACUACCCAGAAAGGGACGGCUAACUACGUG